GAUGAACGCUGGCGGCGUGCCUAAUACAUGCAAGUCGAGCGAACGGACGAGAAGCUUGCUUCUCUGAUGUUAGCGGCGGACGUGUGUGUAACACGUGUAUAACCUACCUAUAAUACUGGGAUAACUUCGGGAAACCGGAUCUAAUACCGGAUAAUAUUUUGAACCGCAUGGUUCAAUAGUGAAAGACGGUCUUGCUGUCACUUAUAGAUGGAUCCGCGCUGCAUUAGCUAGUUGGUAAGGUAACAGCUUAUCAAGGCAACGAUGCAUAGCCGACCUGAGAGAGUGAUCGGCCACACUGGAACUGAGACACGGUCCAGACUACUAAGAGAGGGCGCAGUAGGGAAUCUUCCGCAAUGGGCGAGAGCCUGACGGAGCAACGCCGAGUGAGUGAUGAAGGUCUUCGGAUCGUAAAACUCUGUUAUUAGGGAAGAACAUAUGUGUAAGUAACUGUGCACAUCUUGACGGUAACUAAUAAGAAAGCCACGGCUAACUACGUG
RNAcentral lists this ribosomal RNA (497 nucleotides) under uncultured bacterium. RNAcentral describes it as "partial 16S ribosomal RNA". It matches the Rfam family "Bacterial small subunit ribosomal RNA", at positions 28 to 507 of the family's 1533-position model. The record is from RNAcentral.